UGAACAUCAAACAACUACUAGCAUUGAGAUUAGCAACCACAUUAUCAAACUGAAUAACACUGAUAUCUUCUGCCACAUAAGCUUCGUUCAAGAACUUCAAUAGAGCAGUCCUAUGAGCCUCAGAACUCAUAAGUAGAGAAAGAAUGGAUAUUUUUGAAGGAGUUUGGUUGAGCUGAUCUACGACCUUGUAAUCACUCUUCUUGAUGAUCUUCAAGAAUUCUCUAUCCUCUUCAGUAGUCACUGC
RNAcentral lists this long non-coding RNA (244 nucleotides) under Lathyrus oleraceus (garden pea). Its description in RNAcentral is "Pisum sativum (pea) long non-coding RNA (PSAT_LNC030961)". Lineage: Eukaryota; Viridiplantae; Streptophyta; Magnoliopsida; Fabales; Fabaceae. The record is from RNAcentral.